RNAcentral lists this ribosomal RNA (373 nucleotides) under uncultured Bacteroidota bacterium. Its description in RNAcentral is "bacterial SSU rRNA". It matches the Rfam family "Bacterial small subunit ribosomal RNA", at positions 521 to 896 of the family's 1533-position model. The record is from RNAcentral. Lineage: Bacteria; Pseudomonadati; Bacteroidota.
UAAUACGGAGGGUGCAAGCGUUAUCCGGAUUCAUUGGGUUUAAAGGGUGCGUAGGCGGAAUAGUAAGUCAGAGGUGAAAUCCUGCAGCUCAACUGCAGAACUGCCAUUGAAACUGCUGUUCUUGAGUAUAUUUGAAGUGGGCGGAAUGUGUCAUGUAGCGGUGAAAUGCAUAGAUAUGACACAGAACACCGAUUGCGUAGGCAGCUCACUAAACUAUUACUGACGCUCAGGCACGAAAGCGUGGGUAGCGAACAGGAUUAGAUACCCUGGUAGUCCACGCCGUAAACGAUGAUUACUCGAUGCUGGCGAUAUACUGUCAGUGUCCAAGCGAAAGUGUUAAGUAAUCCACCUGGGGAGUACGAUCGCAAGAUUG